RNAcentral lists this ribosomal RNA (409 nucleotides) under uncultured bacterium. RNAcentral's name for it is "partial 16S ribosomal RNA". The record is from RNAcentral.
AAUCGUGACUCGGGUUACCGCGGCUGCUGGCACGGAGUUAGCCGGUGCUUCUUCUGCGAGUAACGUCACAGAUGUAAGGUAUUAACUUACACCCUUUCCUCCUCGCUGAAAGUGCUUUACAACCCGAAGGCCUUCUUCACACACGCGGCAUGGCUGCAUCAGGGUUUCCCCCAUUGUGCAAUAUUCCCCACUGCUGCCUCCCGUAGGAGUCUGGGCCGUGUCUCAGUCCCAGUGUGGCUGAUCAUCCUCUCAGACCAGCUAGGGAUCGUCGCCUAGGUGAGCCUUUACCUCACCUACUAGCUAAUCCCACCUGGGCUUAUCCAUCAGCGCAAGGCCCGAAGGUCCCCCUGCUUUCCCCCGUAGGGCGUAUGCGGUAUUAGCAGUCGUUCCAACUGUUAUCCCCACAAAU